RNAcentral lists this ribosomal RNA (696 nucleotides) under uncultured Enterococcus sp. Its description in RNAcentral is "bacterial SSU rRNA". It matches the Rfam family "Bacterial small subunit ribosomal RNA", at positions 803 to 1502 of the family's 1533-position model. Lineage: Bacteria; Bacillati; Bacillota; Bacilli; Lactobacillales; Enterococcaceae. The record is from RNAcentral.
UAAACGAUGAGUGCUAAGUGUGGAGGGUUUCCGCCUUCAGUGCUGCAGCAAACGCAUUAAGCACUCCGCUGGGGAGUACGACCGCAAGGUUGAAACUCAAAGGAAUUGACGGGGGCCCGCACAAGCGGUGGAGCAUGUGGUUUAAUUCGAAGCAACGCGAAGAACCUUACCAGGUCUUGACAUCCUUUGACCACUCUAGAGAUAGAGCUUUCCCUUCGGGGACAAAGUGACAGGUGGUGCAUGGUUGUCGUCAGCUCGUGUCGUGAGAUGUUGGGUUAAGUCCCGCAACGAGCGCAACCCUUAUUGUUGGUUGCCAUCAUUUAGUUGGGCACUCUAGCGAGACUGCCGGUGACAAACCGGAGGAAGGCGGGGAUGACGUCAAAUCAUCAUGCCCCUUAUGACCUGGGCUACACACGUGCUACAAUGGGAAGUACAACGAGUCGCUAGGCCGCGAGGUCAUGCAAAUCUCUUAAAGCUUCUCUCAGUUCGGAUUGUAGGCUGCAACUCGCCUACAUGAAGCCGGAAUCGCUAGUAAUCGCGGAUCAGCACGCCGCGGUGAAUACGUUCCCGGGCCUUGUACACACCGCCCGUCACACCACGAAAGUUUGUAACACCCGAAGUCGGUGAGGUAACCUUUUGGAGCCAGCCGCCUAAGGUGGGAUAGAUGAUUGGGGUGAAGUCGUAACAAGGUAACCA